RNAcentral lists this ribosomal RNA (207 nucleotides) under uncultured bacterium. RNAcentral describes it as "partial 16S ribosomal RNA". It matches the Rfam family "Bacterial small subunit ribosomal RNA", at positions 568 to 774 of the family's 1533-position model. The record is from RNAcentral.
CGCGUAGGCGGUUUUGUUAGUCGGAUGUGAAAUCCCCGGGCUUAACCUGGGAACUGCAUUCGAUACUGCAUAACCAGAGUAUGGUAGAGGGAAGUGGAAUUCCGGGUGUAGCGGUGAAAUGCGUAGAUAUCCGGAGGAACACCAGUGGCGAAGGCGACUUCCUGGGCCAAUACUGACGCUGAGGUGCGAAAGCGUGGGGAGCAAACA